Odontomachus brunneus is the source of this 708-nucleotide long non-coding RNA. RefSeq lists it as uncharacterized. NCBI's taxonomy places the organism in Eukaryota, Metazoa, Arthropoda, Insecta, Hymenoptera, Formicidae. The record is from RefSeq and is a predicted model, not a curated record. The transcript has 2 exons.
AAAUUAUAUUUCUAACUAUAAUCUUUUUCAACAUUAAUCUAAGGACAAUUAGAGUUCACGCACAGGUUGUAUAGUGCUAUUAUAAACUCGUGUAUCUGAACAUAAACGACUACCUCGAGACCUUACUUCGCAUCUCUCUGUCGUACAAGAGCACCGUGUUAAUUACAGCCACGAAUUUAAAUGGGAUAAUGUCAAAGUUUUGCAUAAGGAACAUCUAUUUUAUAAAAGAAUGAUUGCAGAGAUGAUUUUUAUAAAAAUGCAGACGCAUGGACUGAAUUCUCAUACUGACACUGAGAAUUUAGGAAAAUGUUACAUGUUACUCGGUUUGACUUAGAUCGUAUUUCGUUUGCGGUUACGAAGUAAAUAUAAACACUGGAUUCUGUAUUGUUUGCGGCAUUCGGAGGUACACGUUCAUAGGCGUAACAUCUCACCGGAACUCUCUGGCCUUUAUCGAGAUGAUCAUACCACAGCAUCUUAGUACGUGCGAUGGAGUGACCAGUCUCGGAAUAAAUUGUCGGUAGCUUCCGAAAAUGAAACAUUUCAUUGUGUAAAUGAUAUGUUAUGUUUGUGCUUCCGAAUCCCGUAGACAAAAAAAUUUGUAGCGACAAUUCUGUAACAACCAAUGUUAACGCUAACUUUUGCGAUUUUUUAUUUUUUGCGACACUAUAACAUUACUUGUAAUCACUGAAGAGGGUCUGUGAAAUGAGA